Triticum urartu is the source of this 3447-nucleotide non-coding RNA. The record is from RefSeq and is a predicted model, not a curated record. Lineage: Eukaryota; Viridiplantae; Streptophyta; Magnoliopsida; Poales; Poaceae.
CGUCAUCCUGGAUCCCACCGGACCCGAGGCGUGCGGGCGCGGCGGCGACCUGCAAGGGAAGGGCGACGCUCGAAUCGAUCCAGCGCCAUGGAUCGUUCCCUGCGGGAGAAAGAGAAAAUGAGGGAGAGAGAAGGAAGGAGAGGAAGGAGAAAGAGAGAGGAAAGAGGAGAGGGAGGUGCAGCGUUGACCGACGGCUCGCGGUGUGGUGCGGCAGACGGCGGCCUCAGCGGGUGUGCGACGACAGGAGGUUCCCAAGCCAGCUCGGGCCGCUGCUACCUCUUCCUCGCCGCCCAACAGGUCGCCGUGCUGGGGGAGCAGGGUAGCAUCGGGUCCACAGGCUGGGGUGGAGGCCUUCCCAACUCAGACUGCGCGUCCUCCUCUUUGCCGCGUCAUCGCCCUGGUCAGCUGAGCACCAACCCGACGGCUCCGGCAUCCGAUGCCAACACAACGAGGUUAUACUCCAAUCAAACAUGUGAAUAUUUACCAGAGUGCUUCAAGAUCGAUUUGAUGAUCCACUACCGCUCUGCUGUUGGGACUAAUUUGGAUGGGAAUGGUGAUUUGAUGGUUGAUUAUGAUUACUUGGUUCUUGCUCUUGGAGUUACUGUGAAUACAUUCAACACUCCUGGUGUGAUGGAGCAUUGCCACUUUCUGAAGGUAGUGGAGGAUGCCCAAAAGAUUCGGAAGAGCGUGAUAGACUGCUUUGAAAAGGCGUCACUUCCUAACCUCAGUGAAGAGGAGAAAAGGAAGAUCCUUCACUUUGUGAUUAUCGGUGGUGGACCUACUGGGGUUGAAUUUGCCGUGGAGUUGCAUGAUUUUCUUGUCAAAGAUCUGGUGAAGCUAUAUCCUGCAAUUGAAGAAAACUCUCAACUCCUACUUGCGCUCCGCCUCUUCCUCCUUUUCAUUGCUCAAUAGGAGGCAGCUCAUCUGGCCGUGCAGCAGACCACGUCCUGAGCGGGUCGGUGACGGCGGUUGCAGCUGGUGCACGAUGGCGAUUCCAACGACAACAGGAAUCUGCAACUUGUUAGACUUCUUUGCAACCCCAACAAGGCCCUCAUCUGCUUUGUCUACAUAUAUGCAUGAUUUCUAUGAUUGGAAUCAGAUAGCACUAACUAUGUGUCAGACUGCUAAUAUUUAUUUGCUUGAUGAUCCUUGAAGCGCACUCUACGCUCAUACAUGAUCCCACAUAUUCUAGAUGCUUUCUUGAGGCUUUGGCUAAAAAUCUGUGGUGUACGUCACUCAUCAGGUAACUAUGACGGGCUAAUGCCUUAAGCUGGGACAUACAACAAAAUACUUAUUUUAUGGGAGGAGUUUAUGGAACUGGGUAGUGCUCAUCAGGAUGCUCUUGCAACAAUUGACACAAUCGAUGUGGCUAAUGGAGCCAGUGAGUAACCUUGCCACCCUUCAGUAUGGUUCCUAUCUUUAGAUAGUCACAUCCACGUUCGUACUUUUAGAAUAGUUGUUGCAACGGGGAAGAGCAUUUCUGCAGUAGCAAGAUAUCAGGACCCAAUGGGCAUAGCCCGAACCAACCACCAUCACUAUUGCUUCAGGAUUAGAUAGCCAACUUCCACUCAUGAGCCUGUCGAGUCAAGUUUCAGACUGAUCAUGUAUCCCCUUGAUAUUCACUGGAUGGAAUCCCCUGUUUUACUCAAACUGAACCUUCUACAAACAUCGGAAAAGCAACAGUAGUAAAGAUGGACAGAAAUUCCAAAAAUAAGAGGUUGGAUGGAGCAUCGAGGAUUUCAGGCUUGGGGUGGCCACGUGUUGCAGGAUAGCAGGAAGAGUUGGAUGUGUUCUGCAGAGACCAGGUGAUCACUGUCGUUGCCGCCAGGUACCUGAAGUACAACACUUCUAAAUUUGGUCAUUUAUUUAUCCUCAUAGCUGGUUCAGAAGCAGAAGUGGCAGUAUAGUGUGCAUGCCGUAUUGACCUGUUCAUGCCAAUGGCAGAAGUAUCUGAUUCAUCCGACCUAAUUCAAGUUAACUUGAGUGCAGCAGAAGCUGGUUCUGAAUAAAAAGUUUUACUUCUGAAGCAGAAGCAGAAGCUGGUGAACUUGGAUGUGUUCAGAAGCAGAAGCUGGUUCUAUGUCAUGAAUAAAAUUUUUUACUUCUGAACUUGGAUGUGUUCAAAUAUAAAAAGUUUUACUUCUGAAUAAAAAGUUUUAACUUGGAUGUGUUCAGAAGCAGAAGCUGGUUCUGAAUAAAAAGUUUUACUUCUGAAGCAGAAGUGGCAGUAUAGUGUGCAUGCCGUAUUGACCUGUUCAUGCCAAUGGCAGAAGUAUCUGAUUCAUCCGACCUAAUUCAAGUUAACUUGAGUGCAGCAGUAGAUAAACAUUCACAAAUUCUACUCCAAAUGGACAGUAAUAGUAGUACGUGGGCAGUGUAAAAUGUGUUUUUGUUAGUUCAGUGAAAAUUAGAGAUCAACCUGAUGGUACUUCAUUUUUAUUCUAAUCUGCCAAAUGCUAUUAAGGAAAUGAAGUUUCUUCCUCGAUCAAGUUAUCAGUCCUUGGUUCACUCUUGCCCUUUGCGCUGGAUGAGACGGGGAGGAGGAGGAGGAGAGUGUGGGGGCAUCUGGAGAGGAGCAAGGGGUGAGAAGUAGCAAGAGGUUCCUUAAUAGCAUUUGGCAGAUUAGAAUAAAAUUGAAGUACCAUCAGGUUGAUCUCUAAUUUUCACUGAACUAACAAAAACACAUUUGCUCCACAUUUCCCUUUGCGCUGUCAGUGAAAAUGUUAUACGUCUUAGCUACCUCUGCUCGCUUUCGAUGAUCAGUUCACUACUUUACUGCUCUUUCCUUAAUUUCGAGAGGACACAGGAGAGGGAGCUACAACGGCAGGAGAAGAAUGCAACGAGGUCCGGUCUUCUGUUCGAUGCCAAGGGCCUGUCCGGCAGUGAUUUCCUCGGGAUGAUCUAGAUGAUAUAACAAAAGGAUUAUAUAUGCGUUUGUGUGCUUCAGAAAAGGUUACUGCUACAUUCAACUUUUCACCAGAAAUGAUUCGUAUAUCCUGAAGAUGUUGCUAGCGUCUUGAAGGAUUACUUAUAUUUGCUCCCUAAUUUCCUGGAUUAUACGAAGUGAGUUGGAUCAUCCAGGGUUGGCGAAACUGAUAUUCAAAUUUGUUUUGUUCUUUAGACCAGACAUUAGCCCUUUCUCUCUAUUUAACAUAUUUCAAGUUCUCAUGUUACAUUAUACUCCCUCCGGCCCAUAAUGUAAGACGUUUUUUGACACUAAUGUAGUGUAAAAAAAGUCUUACAUUAUGGGACGGAGGGAGUAGUAAAUAUUCAAUUCACUUCUAUUUUGUAGACAUGUCAUUAGCCUUUUCUCUCUAUUUAACACAUUUCAAGUUCUCAUGUUACAUCAAAAGUACGCUGGUUAGGAUGUUUGCAACAUGCCGUGUGUUGUAAUCUUUGUCCACUGUACAUGCACAGAUUAAAUACUUUCAUUAGUACUUUUACAUA